This 72-nucleotide transfer RNA is filed under the name Clostridium cellulovorans 743B. It matches the Rfam family "tRNA". Rfam says of the family: Transfer RNA (tRNA) molecules are approximately 80 nucleotides in length. Their secondary structure includes four short double-helical elements and three loops (D, anti-codon, and T loops). The record is from Rfam by way of RNAcentral. Lineage: Bacteria; Bacillati; Bacillota; Clostridia; Eubacteriales; Clostridiaceae.
UGGGAUAUCGCCAAGCGGUAAGGCGCUAGACUCUGACUCUGGUAUCCGUAGGUUCGAAUCCUACUAUCCCAG